UGUUCAGGGGUAAACCUGUGGUUCCCGAAAGUUCGAACGGGGAGAUUCAAUUGCCUCGCCGGUUAUGACCAUUUAACAGUGAUAUGUUUAUAUAUGUAUUAGAGACAUUAUAUGGCGGUUGCGGGUUUAUUCUCGUAGCUGUUUUCUGUGUAGUGCUCCACUGUUUUAUGAUAUAUAGUUUAUAGCCGGAGGCAUGCACUUCUCCCCUUGUAGGACGUCGUGACCCAUUGGAUUAUGUUGUCUAAGGCUUAUAAUGGAGACCGUGACAUUAGGGCUGAAAGGCCUCAAUGAUCCGGACUUAUAAUGUCCCGACAUCUAUCCGAUGGUAUAAUUAUGAUGAUAGAUCGCUAUAAAUGCGUAUGAGCGUUCAGAUCCAUAACAAAUUCUUUAUAUGAUAUUGAAAUAGUGGAAAUCGGAUUUAAUGCCGAUUCUACACAUAUGGUAUUGAUAGUUAUGGUAUUCUCGAACCGUUUUUUAUCAUCAGUCAACGGCGUUUAUGUUUUGGGUAAUUACAGGACCCGUCUUGAAACACGGACCAAGGAGUCUAGCAUGUGCGCAAGUCAUUGGGACUUUGUGAAACCUAAAGGCGUAAUGAAAGUGAAAUAUUUGUGAAUUUUCGUAAUUCACUGAAUUUAAGGGAAGAUGGGUAACGUUUUUUAUGUUACCUCGCAUUCCCGGGGCGUCGCGUACUUAUUGCAAGUUGCGGCGCACCAAGAGCGUACACGCUGGGACCCGAAAGAUGGUGAACUAUGCCUGGUCAGGAUGAAGUCAGGGGAAACCCUGAUGGAGGUCCGUAGCGAUUCUGACGUGCAAAUCGAUCGUAUGAACUGGGUAUAGGG
RNAcentral lists this ribosomal RNA (839 nucleotides) under Calathus freyi. RNAcentral's name for it is "eukaryotic LSU rRNA". It matches the Rfam family "Eukaryotic large subunit ribosomal RNA", at positions 406 to 922 of the family's 3401-position model. The record is from RNAcentral. RNAcentral also lists the same sequence under 1 other name. Lineage: Eukaryota; Metazoa; Arthropoda; Insecta; Coleoptera; Carabidae.